UACGGAGGGUGCAAACGUUGCUCGGAAUCAUUGGGCGUAAAGCGCACGUAGGCGGACCGCUAAGUCGGAUGUGAAAGCCUCGGCUUAACCGAGGAAGUGCAUUCGAAACUGACAGUCUUGAGUAUGGAAGAGGGUCGCGGAAUUCCCGGUGUAGAGGUGAAAUUCGUAGAUAUCGGGAGGAACACCAGUGGCGAAGGCGGCGACCUGGGC
This 210-nucleotide ribosomal RNA is filed under the name uncultured bacterium. RNAcentral's name for it is "partial 16S ribosomal RNA". It matches the Rfam family "Bacterial small subunit ribosomal RNA", at positions 524 to 734 of the family's 1533-position model. The record is from RNAcentral.